UACGUAGGGGGCAAGCGUUGUCCGGAUUUAUUGGGCGUAAAGAGCGUGUAGGCGGCCAGGUAGGUCUGCUGUGAAAACUCGAGGCUCAACCUCGAGACGUCGGCGGAAACCAUCUGGCUAGAGUUCGGAAGAGGGUCGUGGAAUUCCCAGUGUAGAGGUGAAAUUCGUAGAUAUUGGGAAGAACACCGGUGGCGAAGGCGGCGACCUGGUCCGAUACUGACGCUGAGGCGCGAAAGCGUGGGGAGCAAACAGG
This 253-nucleotide ribosomal RNA is filed under the name uncultured bacterium. Its description in RNAcentral is "partial 16S ribosomal RNA". It matches the Rfam family "Bacterial small subunit ribosomal RNA", at positions 524 to 776 of the family's 1533-position model. The record is from RNAcentral.